Durio zibethinus is the source of this 1401-nucleotide long non-coding RNA. RefSeq lists it as uncharacterized. The record is from RefSeq and is a predicted model, not a curated record. NCBI's taxonomy places the organism in Eukaryota, Viridiplantae, Streptophyta, Magnoliopsida, Malvales, Malvaceae.
GCUUGAAGGGAGAAGUAUUUGCAAAACUCUUAACGUCUCCUCGAACUCCAAAAACAAAAAGAAAGUUCCAGUAACUCAAUCUAUCCUCGACAAGAAAUCCAAUUCAAAACAAACCUUAAAAACCCUACAAUCUCAUGCCACUCCAGCUGCCUUACUUUUCUCUUCAGUAUUGUUGAAAUAAAUUGAAACUAUCCAGAAGCUUCUCUCUCGAUUCCCCUUCUUUGUUGCCGCCCUUUUUGCGAUUUUUAUUGUUGUUGAAAAUAGAGAGAGGUUCAAUUGAAAAUUCUCGAACUUCCCAGAGAUGGAGUUAGUCGCCAGAUGAAGCGAGAAGAUUUAACGAGGAAGAGGAAGGGUUUUCGAUUGGUUGUAAGAGGAGGGAAAGCCAGGAAAGAAUUUGCUGUCUUACUGCGAAGGUGUAGAGCUGCUAUUGUUAUACAAAAGUAGAUUAAAGGCAGGAAUGCUAGGAAAACAUUCAAGAACAUUAAUGAAGCUUCACUUUUGAUAAAAUCAGUAAUUCAUGGCUGGUUGGUCAGAAGAUGCUCUGGAGAUAUAGGAUUAGUCAAAUCUGGGGCCUCUAAGGCAUGGUGAUGCUAAAGUUGCAGCAAAAGGUGGAAAAAGUUUUUCAGCUGUUGAAGAUGACAUGGCAGAUGUGUAUCCAUUGCAGCUAAGACUUUCUAUUCCACAGGAAGUUGGGAGUAAAAAUUAGCAAAAAGGACAAUGCAGUGGAACUUUUCAGAAGAGCCUACAAAAUUUUUAGUGCAGACUCUGAGCACUUUUGCCGGGCUGACAACUCUAUAUUUUGUGAAUGAGAGAAAUAGAUUUCUCAAAGACUGUCAACGCCAAUCAAAUUGGGAAGUAGGAGGUCAUGAAAGAGAAGAGGCCUUUCACACAUGUGAACACAUUUCUUUCGGGGACAGAGGUUGCAGCUGAAACUGCUGCUACUGUGGCUUCAGUAUCUUUGGUGUUUAAGACAGCUGGCUCCACAUAUUCAAGCACGCAUCUUAAGCAUGCCAAGCAACUUUUUAAUUUUGCAUACAAAUAUAGGGCUCUUCAAUGUGCAUGCAGCAAUUUUGAUAUGGAAGAUUGAUAAAUUGGAUUUUGUUGCAUGCCUGGGAGCCUUUCUUGGCGUAGUCUAUUCAUCAGUUGAGAUAGACCUCCUUUCCGAAUUGCUAUCCGCUACCUAAAAUUCCUGAAGAUGAAUUACAUUCUACUAUAUGUUUUACUUAAUUCUUUUGUCACUUAACUCCAGGGCUGGUCUCUAUAUUUUUUGCUAAAAUCCUCUUACAAGUUACUAGGCCUCGAACUGCUAUUCUUGGGAACCUACCUAGGACUAUCUCGCUGCGAAGUGCAGAUUUUUUUAUCUAAUAAAAAUUAAAGAAUUAAUUAAAAAUUUUAAAAGAA